UGGGGAAUUUUGGACAAUGGGCGAAAGCCUGAUCCAGCAAUGCCGCGUGUGUGGAGAAGGCCUUCGGGUUGUAAAGCACUUUUGUCCGGAAAGAAAUCCUUGGCUCUAAUACAGUCGGGGGAUGACGGUACCGGAAGAAUAAGCACCGGCUAACUACGUGCCAGCAGCCGCGGUAAUACGUAGGGUGCAAGCGUUAAUCGGAAUUACUGGGCGUAAAGCGUGCGCAGGCGGUUUGCUAAGACCGAUGUGAAAUCCCCGGGCUCAACCUGGGAACUGCAUUGGUGACUGGCAGGCUAGAGUAUGGCAGAGGGGGGUAGAAUUCCACGUGUAGCAGUGAAAUGCGUAGAGAUGUGGAGGAAUACCGAUGGCGAAGGCAGCCCCCUGGGCCAAUACUGACGCUCAUGCACGAAAGCGUGGGGAGCAAACAGGAUUAGAUACCCUGGUAGUCCACGCCCUAAACGAUGUCAACUAGUUGUUGGGGAUUCAUUUCCUUAGUAACGUAGCUAACGCGUGAAGUUGACCGCCUGGGGAGUACGGUCGCAAGAUUAAAA
This 551-nucleotide ribosomal RNA is filed under the name uncultured bacterium. RNAcentral's name for it is "partial 16S ribosomal RNA". It matches the Rfam family "Bacterial small subunit ribosomal RNA", at positions 355 to 899 of the family's 1533-position model. The record is from RNAcentral.